Molecule: long non-coding RNA, 289 nt
Organism: Oncorhynchus keta (chum salmon)
Lineage: Eukaryota; Metazoa; Chordata; Actinopteri; Salmoniformes; Salmonidae
Exons: 3
Source: RefSeq, a predicted model, not a curated record
GGAGGGAGUGUGAUGGUCUACGCUAGCCAACAGGGAGGUAGCUAAGCUAGAUAAGUGGGGUGAGGUUCGGCCCUGCUAUAACCCCCUGGGUAAGUUGUAAUCCUCAGAUGGCACUGGGCCAACUAUAACUUUUACAAGGUCUCAAUGUAGUAAGAUAAAUAGUAGCACCCAGGUAGGUCUAUAUUAAGGCUGGUCACUGGGAGAAUCCAGGUAGGUCUAUAUUAAGGCUGGUCACUGGGAGAAUCCAGGUAGGUCUAUAUUAAGGCUGGUCACUGGGAGAAUCCAGGUA